This is a long non-coding RNA of Quercus robur (English oak), 781 nucleotides long. RefSeq lists it as uncharacterized. The record is from RefSeq and is a predicted model, not a curated record. The transcript has 4 exons. Lineage: Eukaryota; Viridiplantae; Streptophyta; Magnoliopsida; Fagales; Fagaceae.
UGCAGAGUUGGCACGUGUUUCUAUAGUAAAGUUGUAUCAGGCGCGCCCAUUUGUUCGAAAUGAAAUCUCCGUGAAAGUUCUCUCCAAAACCUGUAUGGUUUGGUCCUUUGGCGAUACAUUCAACCAUGGUUUCACAGAUGGAGAGUUUUUUCCGGAAGCGAAGGUGACGAUGGGACCCACCCACUCCAACCACAACAGAGAUUGAAGAUGAAAUCAAAUCAGACACCGCCACUGCUGGGCUUCUGUCAAUUGCAAAUGCUUGCCCUGAAACAAACAGGGCUGCUGUCAAUCUUUUUUGCUUAUUUUGUGCCGAUUAUUUUCAUUGUCAUCGCAAUAUGGAUGGCUGUUGUUUUGUUCAAGAUUAUUGAGAGAUUGGCCUUUAUUCUUUGUUGUUUUGCACUCCCAAUUUUUCACUUGCUGUCGUUAUAGCAGAGAAGUUAGUACAAAUGAAUUAUAUCUCUGAACUGCUUCUAAUGUCACUUUUGGAUCUGUCCAUGUCAACCAAAGAUAAUACGAGACCGCCGUGCGACUAGCUUUUCCUCCUCUCUACUAGCUGGGCGUGUGGCUUGGCUUGGCUUGGCUUAGCUGCUUACAAUUUUGGUUUUGUUUAGUUUCAAGUUUCAAUUGCAUCAAUCUCAUUCAAUUUCAUUUUCUAAUUACUGCAGUUUUUUUAUUCCAUCUGGUAAUCUUGGUUUCACAUGUUAGGUUGUAAUGUUAAUAUUUGGUCCAGAGGUUUUCAAUAAACAUGUGUAUACUUGCUAGUUGGUACCAUCUUGUGUUG